Molecule: ribosomal RNA, 119 nt
Organism: Arabidopsis thaliana (thale cress)
Lineage: Eukaryota; Viridiplantae; Streptophyta; Magnoliopsida; Brassicales; Brassicaceae
Source: Rfam
AGAUGCGAUCAUACCAGCACUAAUGCAUCGGAUCCCAUCAGAACUACGCAGUUAAGGGUGCUUGGGCGAGAGUAGUACUAGGAUGGGAGACCUCCAGGAAAGUCCUCGUGUUGCAUCCC